AAGUCGUAACAAGGUAUCCGUAGGUGAACCUGCGGAUGGAUCAUUAAACAUAUCUACGUAUCAACCAAUCGUGAACUCUCGUUUUUUCCAACGUGCUCUGUUUCGAUAGGUUUUUUGUUUGGGGAGUCCCGGCCUCUGAGCUGUCCGAGCUGUAAAAGGCUUUGGCGGUGUACGACGUGCUUGGCUUCUUAGGGCAGAAGACUUGUUGAGACAUCAUGGAGGAAACUUAUUAACCCAUUGUAUUAUCAUCCCCAGUUAUUUUAUUCUUUGUCGCGGCCUAACGGCGGACUUUCUAGUAAGAAAUUUUUGUACAACUCUUAACGAUGGAUAUCUAGGCUCUCG
Molecule: unclassified non-coding RNA, 342 nt
Filed under: fungal sp.
Lineage: Eukaryota; Fungi
Description: partial internal transcribed spacer region
Rfam family: Eukaryotic small subunit ribosomal RNA (bases 1-46)
Source: RNAcentral